RNAcentral lists this ribosomal RNA (497 nucleotides) under Escherichia coli. RNAcentral's name for it is "partial 23S ribosomal RNA". It matches the Rfam family "Bacterial large subunit ribosomal RNA", at positions 1387 to 1869 of the family's 2925-position model. Lineage: Bacteria; Pseudomonadati; Pseudomonadota; Gammaproteobacteria; Enterobacterales; Enterobacteriaceae. The record is from RNAcentral.
ACCCCUAAGGCGAGGCCGAAAGGCGUAGUCGAUGGGAAACAGGUUAAUAUUCCUGUACUUGGUGUUACUGCGAAGGGGGGACGGAGAAGGCUAUGUUGGCCGGGCGACGGUUGUCCCGGUUUAAGCGUGUAGGCUGGUUUUCCAGGCAAAUCCGGAAAAUCAAGGCUGAGGCGUGAUGACGAGGCACUACGGUGCUGAAGCAACAAAUGCCCUGCUUCCAGGAAAAGCCUCUAAGCAUCAGGUAACAUCAAAUCGUACCCCAAACCGACACAGGUGGUCAGGUAGAGAAUACCAAGGCGCUUGAGAGAACUCGGGUGAAGGAACUAGGCAAAAUGGUGCCGUAACUUCGGGAGAAGGCACGCUGAUAUGUAGGUGAAGUCCCUCGCGGAUGGAGCUGAAAUCAGUCGAAGAUACCAGCUGGCUGCAACUGUUUAUUAAAAACACAGCACUGUGCAAACACGAAAGUGGACGUAUACGGUGUGACGCCUGCCCGGUGC